CCGACUCGAGGUCGUAAGCGUAUGCGUCUGGGCGAGAUUCGCCAUGUCUAAGCUCCUCUUCAGACUCUUCAGCCUCCCCAAUGUAGUUCCCGAACCUGCGCAACACACGAUCAUUAGCGCAACUCUGGCCCAGGAGCUGCUGAAAUGCUGCUGCCUUGAAUCAAAAGCACCUACUCGUCGUAAAGAUCGUCCAUAGUGUCUGCGAAAGAGCAAUGUAGGAAACGCGCAGUAUGAUUAAUUGCAGACGGAAUGGAUCAUUUCGCGAGCACCUUUUCCUCUGCAGAAGCGUACUACAAAUGCCUUGCAAUAUAACGUAUAACUAAAUCGCAGAGAUGGAGUCGCGGGGAGAGCAGGUGUUGUCCUCUGUGUUUGGCUGAUCGAUGCCGUCCUGGAGAUUUGUCGUGGGAGAGCUUGGUGAUGGCCUCAGGCACCAACAAAAAAUUUAAUCAACAAUCUGGUUAACUAGUUAGUUAGUUACAAC
This 481-nucleotide small RNA is filed under the name Histoplasma capsulatum. RNAcentral describes it as "hypothetical RNA". The record is from RNAcentral. Lineage: Eukaryota; Fungi; Ascomycota; Eurotiomycetes; Onygenales; Ajellomycetaceae. RNAcentral also lists the same sequence under 1 other name.